RNAcentral lists this ribosomal RNA (468 nucleotides) under uncultured bacterium. RNAcentral's name for it is "partial 16S ribosomal RNA". It matches the Rfam family "Bacterial small subunit ribosomal RNA", at positions 28 to 507 of the family's 1533-position model. The record is from RNAcentral.
GACGAACGCUGGCGGCGUGCUUAACACAUGCAAGUCGAACGGAAAGGCCCUGCUUUUGUGGGGUGCUCGAGUGGCGAACGGGUGAGUAACACGUGAGUAACCUGCCCUUGACUUUGGGAUAACUUCAGGAAACUGGGGCUAAUACCGGAUAGGAGCUCCUGCUGCAUGGUGGGGGUUGGAAAGUUUCGGCGGUUGGGGAUGGACUCGCGGCUUAUCAGCUUGUUGGUGAGGUAGUGGCUUACCAAGGCUUUGACGGGUAGCCGGCCUGAGAGGGUGACCGGCGACAUUGGGACUGAGAUACGGCCCAGACGCCUACGGGAGGCAGCAGUGGGGAGUAUUGCACAAUGGGCGGAAGCCUGAUGCAGCAACGCCGCGUGCGGGAUGACGGCCUUCGGGUUGUAAACCGCUUUCGCCUGUGACGAAGCGUGAGUGACGGUAAUGGGUAAAGAAGCACCGGCUAACUACGUG